GAGGGGGGAUGGGUGGCGUGACGAUAACAAGUAGUUAGCCGGCCGGUUGUUUCAUGUCCGUGUCCGAAACCAUUACAAGGAAAGGAAUCAAGCGCGGUAUAUCAUCUGUUUCCUACCAAUCUCCUCAUCUUUUUCUUAGCGCAGAGAUGCAAGUCACUACCUUCAAACUUACCUUGAUCUGCCGUGGUGCAGAUAUGAGGGCGUGAGGUAGGAGUGUGUGAGCCAAAGGAGCAGCAACACAUUCGAAGAGACCCCGAGGUAAAGUUGCAUCAGCCACAGAAACACCCGGCCUACUUGUUUCUGAGCGGCGGGCGAGAGCGGUGCGUUGUGGUGCGUGGGUGGCGUCGCGGUGAGUGAAGUGAUGUGUGUGUUAAUUUAUCGUUCCCCUCCUGCGUAUUCUUCGCGGUGGAUUUGGUGAGUACCCGUAUCACAGGUCUCAUCGAGGGACAGACAGCGCUGGAGCAUCCCUUCGAGAAAAGUAAAGUGAAGAUACUGUUUCCUAGGCGUUAGGGCGAUAGGCUGAGCGGCUAAUCUUUAUUGCCUUUCAGGUACAAACUAAAUUUCUUUUUCAGGUACAUGCUAAUGAAUGAUCUAGUCUUUCCCAGAACAGUAAUGCCCCUGUUAGUGUACUGCGACGGCGACCAGAUGGAGCCUCAUGCCGGUGGAGGAGGACGGUGCUGGUGGCGGGCGUGCUGCUUUCAUUUGAUGGGCGAUGUAUUCACUCGACGGUGCUGGUGGGUGUCAUGAAGAAAUUAUCGCAAAGACGCUGGAUCAAAAUUACACUAGAGUCGCACAGCUGUAAAAGAAGAAAUUCGGAUGGAAGUCGGGAAAUCUCACGGCGUUGUGACAUUGGGAAAGGUGAGGAAAUGGUUCUGUCUUGCCUCUCAGGUAAAACGAGCGUCCUUUUCUUAAAGUGAAGCAGGUAAGACUUUUUUUUUGAGGAACUAAACAUUUUUCUUCCACUUCAAACUAAUCUCUCUUAAUCUCUAUUGCAGGUCAAACUGAUCUAUCUCUCUCUUGCAGGUCAAACUGAUCUAUCUCUCUUGCAGGUCAAACUAAACUCUCCCUUGCAGGUCAAACUAAUCUCUCUCUCUUGCAGGUCAAACUAAUCUCUCUUACAGGUCAAACUAAUCUCUCUCUCUUGCAGGUCAAACUAAUCUCUCUCUCUUGCAGGUCAAACUAAUCUCUCUCUCUUGCAGGUCAAACUAAUCUCUCUCUCUUGCAGGUCAAACUAAACUCUCUCUUGCAGGUCAAACUAAACUCUCUCUUGCAGGUCAAACUAAACUCUCUCUUGCAGGUCAAACUAAACUCUCUCUUGCAGGUCAAACUAAACUCUCUCUUGCAGGUCAAACUAAUCUCUUACAGGUCAAACUAAUCUCUCUCUCUUGCAGGUCAAACUAAACUCUCUCUUGCAGGUCAAACUAAACUCUCUCUUGCAGGUCAAACUAAACUCUCUCUUGCAGGUCAAACUAAACUCACUCUCUUGCAGGUCAAACUAAACUCACUCUCUUGCAGGUCAAACUAAACUCUCUCACUUGCAGGUUAAACUAAUCUCUCUCUUGCAGGUCAAACUAAACUCUCUCACUUGCAGGUUAAACUAAACUCUCUCUUGCAGGUCAAACUAAACUCACUCUCUUGCAGGUCAAACUAAUCUCUCUCACUUGCAGAUUAAACUAAUCUCUCUCUUGCAGGUCAAACUAAACUCUCUCUCUUGCAGGUUAAACUAAUUUAUCUCUCUUGCAGGACAAACUAAUCUAUCUCUUGCAGGACAAAUUAAUCUGUCUGUCUCUUGCAGGACAAACUAAUCUAUCUCUCCCUUGCAGGACAAACUAAUCUCUCUCUCUCUUGCAGGACAAACUAAUCUCUCUCUUGCAGGGCAAACUAAUCUCUCUCUCUCUUGCAGGACAAACUAAUCUAUCUCUCUCUUGCAGGACAAACUAAUCUAUCUCUCUCUUGCAGGACAAACUAAUCUAUCUCUCUCUUGCAGGACAAACUAAUCUAUCUCUCUUGCAGGACAAACUAACUAAUCUAUCUCUCUCUUGCAGGACAAACUAAUCUAUUUCUCUCUUGCAGGACAAACUAAUCUAUCUCUCUCUUGCAGGACAAACUAAUCUAUUUCUCUCUUGCAGGACAAACUAACCUAUUUAUUUCUUGCAGGUCAAACUAAUUGAUAUUUUUAUCACUACUUUUAAAGUUUCUUCUCUCUACUCUAAUCCUAUUACCUAAGGCGUUACCAGGCAACAAUGAGCAGCUUGCCACUGUGAUACCCCCUCCUUGAGAGGAUAAUACUCACUUCGGUGAGGGGGACCUGGAGACACACACACCCAUACACAUGUACAUGUAAAGACACUCACUCUCUCUUUCUCUUCUACAAUUUUCAUCCAUACACAUGUGCAUAAAAUGAAACUCGCUCGUUCGCCAUCUUCUCUUGUCUAUUUUCCUCUUUUCUUUCUCUUUAUUUUCCUCUUUCUAGAUCUAUCUUUUAUCUUUUUUCUCAAUCUUUCUCUUUAUCUUAAUCUUUCUCUUCUCUAUUCAUACUUCUAUCUUCUGUCUCAUUAGUGUUCUGGAUUUAAUAUCCUGUCUUCUUAUUACAGUAAGAUCAGCAGCAGUUUAUGAAGAUGCAGCUGGGGAAGAGUAAGUGGGCUGCCAGCGGGCGAGAGAAGCAACGCUGUUAGUGAGGAUAGUGAAGGAGAUGGCGAAUGAAGAUUGUGCUGCAGUUGCGUCUUAUGAACUAUGUAAUGUUAGGUUUUGUCAUUAUUGUAAGUCAUAACGCUUAAAAAUAAAAUGUGUAACUGAU
Molecule: long non-coding RNA, 2797 nt
Organism: Scylla paramamosain (green mud crab)
Lineage: Eukaryota; Metazoa; Arthropoda; Malacostraca; Decapoda; Portunidae
Exons: 3
Source: RefSeq, a predicted model, not a curated record